UCCUCAGAAGAGGCAAAUCAAGUGCUUCAGGUGCAGGCAUGGCAAGAAGAAGUGGAGCGUGCACGCCAAGGUCAGAGGGAAGCUGAAAGCAAGCUUGCUUCUUUGGAGGCUGAAAUGCAAAAGUUAAGAGUUGAAACAGCUGCCAUGAAAAGGGAUGCUGAACAUUACUCUCGCCCGGAACAUGUGGAACUUGAAAAGCGGUAUCGUGAAUUAACUGAUCUAUUGUAUUACAAGCAAACACAGCUUGAAGCCAUGGCCAGUGAAAAAGCUGCGGCUGCGUUUCAGUUGGAGAAAGAAGCAAAGCGUCUUCAGGAAGUACAGUUAGAAGCUGAACGAAACAGAUCUUCUCGUCGAGCAUCAUCCUCGUGGGAGGAAGACACUGACAUCAAAGCACUUGAGCCUCUCCCUUUACAUCACCGACACAUGACUAGGGCGACGAUACAGUUACAGAAGGCCGCGAAGCUUCUGGAUUCCGGGGCUGUCAGGGCAACACGAUUUCUCUGGCGAUGUCCAACUGCUCGAGUUAUCUUGCUUUUUUAUCUGGUGUUUGUCCAUUUGUUCUUGAUGUAUCUCUUGCAUCGCCUUCAGGAACAAGCUGAUACUUUUGAAUCCAAAGAAGUUGCAAUAUCAAUGGGGCUCGUCAACCAAACCUUACCAUGAGCCUUCCUGCUAGAGGACCGACCAUUCAGGUUCUCUCUUUGCUGAUGAGUUGCUCGAUAAACCAAUCUCAUUUAAGCACCCGUAGUAUUGCAGAAUCACUAAACGUUUGAAGAAGAAUAUUUCAUUUGGUUUGCUUUCAGCGCAACUUGGAAGAUAGCGUGAUUUAUACUGUAACUGCAGUCUGAUGAGUCCAAAAAAAAGAAAUUGAACUUCAACAAAGUAUGUUACUGACGAAUCAGAAUUGUG
This 906-nucleotide unclassified non-coding RNA is filed under the name Hevea brasiliensis (rubber tree). The record is from RNAcentral. Lineage: Eukaryota; Viridiplantae; Streptophyta; Magnoliopsida; Malpighiales; Euphorbiaceae.